CCAGACAGCCAGGAUGUUGGCUUAGAAGCAGCCAUCAUUUAAAGAAAGCGUAAUAGCUCACUGGUCGAGUCGGCCUGCGCGGAAGAUGUAACGGGGCUAAAUCAUGCACCGAAGCUGCGGCAGCGACACUCAGGUGUUGUUGGGUAGGGGAGCGUUCUGUAAGCCUGUGAAGGUGUGUCGUGAGGCAUGCUGGAGGUAUCAGAAGUGCGAAUGCUGACAUAAGUAACGAUAAAGCGGGUGAAAAGCCCGCUCGCCGGAAGACCAAGGGUUCCUGUCCAACGUUAAUCGGGGCAGGGUGAGUCGACCCCUAAGGC
RNAcentral lists this ribosomal RNA (314 nucleotides) under Salmonella enterica subsp. enterica serovar Thompson. RNAcentral's name for it is "bacterial LSU rRNA". It matches the Rfam family "Bacterial large subunit ribosomal RNA", at positions 1085 to 1397 of the family's 2925-position model. Lineage: Bacteria; Pseudomonadati; Pseudomonadota; Gammaproteobacteria; Enterobacterales; Enterobacteriaceae. The record is from RNAcentral.